AGAGUUUGAUCCUGGCUCAGGACGAACGUUGGCGGCGUGCUUAACACAUGCAAGUCGAGCGGAAAGGCCCUUCGGGGUACUCGAGCGGCGAACGGGUGAGUAACACGUGAGCAACCUGCCCCUGGCUCUGGGAUAGCUCCGGGAAACCGGGAUUAAUACCGGAUAUGACCUGCUUACGCAUGUUUGCGGGUGGAAAGUUUUUCGGCUGGGGAUGGGCUCGCGGCCUAUCAGCUUGUUGGUGGGGUGAUGGCCUACCAAGGCGACGACGGGUAGCCGGCCUGAGAGGGCGGGCGGCCACACUGGGACUGAGACACGGCCCAGACUCCUACGGGAGGCAGCAGUGGGGAAUAUUGCGCAAUGGGCGGAAGCCUGACGCAGCGACGCCGCGUGGGGGAUGAAGGCCUUCGGGUUGUAAACCUCUUUCACCAGGGGCGAAGCGAAAGUGACGGUACCUGGAGAAGAAGCGCCGGCUAACUACGUGCCAGCAGCCGCGGUAAUACGUAGGGCGCAAGCGUUGUCCGGAAUUAUUGGGCGUAAAGAGCUCGUAGGCGGCCAGUUGCGUCUGCUGUGAAAUCCCGGGGCUUAACCCUGGGCGUGCAGUGGAUACGGGCUGGCUGGAGGCAGGCAGGGGAGAAUGGAAUUCCCGGUGUAGCGGUGAAAUGCGCAGAUAUCGGGAGGAACACCGGUGGCGAAGGCGGUUCUCUGGGCCUGUUCUGACGCUGAGGAGCGAAAGCGUGGGGAGCGAACAGGAUUAGAUACCCUGGUAGUCC
This 770-nucleotide ribosomal RNA is filed under the name uncultured bacterium. RNAcentral describes it as "bacterial SSU rRNA". It matches the Rfam family "Bacterial small subunit ribosomal RNA", at positions 8 to 796 of the family's 1533-position model. The record is from RNAcentral.